RNAcentral lists this long non-coding RNA (1701 nucleotides) under Homo sapiens (human). RNAcentral's name for it is "HSALNT0184655". The record is from RNAcentral. Lineage: Eukaryota; Metazoa; Chordata; Mammalia; Primates; Hominidae.
AAGCACCAGCAGGAAUCAGAGAAUGGUGGCUUCCAUCCUCUGCGCACAGCAGCAAGGAAGGCUUCCGGGCUGCUUUGUUUACCUAAUCAAGCCCGGGCAAUGGCGGGCGCCCCUCCCCCAGCCUCGCUGCCGCCUUGCAGUUGGAUCUCAGACUGCUGUGCUAGCAAUCAGCGAGACUCCGUGGGCAUAGGACCCUCCGAGCCAGGUAUAUUGUUGUUUAUAAUUGCACUCCUGUGUCCUUACAGGCCACUUCCUCUUUCUCUCUCUCUGUGAUCUCAGGUCCCACCGCAGCCUCCAGAAGCAUUGGGAUUAUAGGCAUGUUGUGUGCUUCCAGCUCAAGCCGGCUCUGUGUUUUAGGCCAACCAACACAAUUCAUAUAACAUCCUUGCACAUUUCCACCAUUUCCCGCCUCACCAUGCCUCAGAGGACUACAGGCUCCCCAAGACGGGACAUGGUUGGGCAGGUACCGGAUAGAUGCUGUCACUGCUGAAAAAGAAAAAAAUAUCCAAAGUAUUCACGUUGUACCUGCUGAGUGCCAGUACUGCAUGCUCUGGGGAUUCCAUUCCUGCCCCUAUGGAAGAGGGGUCAACUUUUCCAAAACAUCAUCUUCUAGAGGAAGAAGCUGAAGCCCAGCAAGGAAAAGUAACAUAACGAAGAUCUCAGCAGAAUGACGGUUAUCUGAGCAUCUAUAUUCUGGGGUUGCAAAAAGAACAAGAACGUAGGGUUCAAUGGACCUGAGUUCCAGGCCUCACUCUGUCACCAGCUGACUGUAAGAAGCCCACCCACCUCCACCUUCUCUAGAUCACAUGUUUUAUGGCCGCCUCAAAGGCGUGAAGCAGGUGAGUCGUGCUGCCUCUGCCAACAUCUGCUUUGUGAGCCUGGGAGUAUUUCACGGAGAUGUUUCUCUCGACAGGUUUAUGGCUGGUCUUGGCUCAGUGCCUUGAAAACACUGAUCAUGUGAUGAAACGAGAAUGUCAUGCUGCGGGCCAUCAAUAAACCACACUGGCAUUCCCGCUCCCACCCCGACACCACUCCACCCAUGCAAUUUCCCUCCCCUUCAGCCUCCUCCCUCCCCACCUCCCAAAGAUAUGCAAUGAAGAAAUUGCACACAAGAACAAGCUACGGUCUGUCCUCUAUGCUGAUGUUGGCAGCCUGCUUCUGCAGAACAUGCUUAACUGGCUAUCUGAGGACCAGAGGGGAAGACAGCCGACCCCACCACUUCUGAGACCCUAUCUUGCAGCCUUAUGAAAGGAGAAGUUAUGCUUAAUUCUUGGGGAAACAAAGGAAUGGCUACACCAGUAAGUUAGCCUUACCAUUGACUUGGGACUCUGAGAAGUGGAGAUGGGGACAACAGUAAUGGGGACAGAUGAACAAUGUCUCUUGCUUUAGGUUCAGCAGGGACUCUUGAGAAGUGGAGAUGGGGACAACAGUAAUGGGGACAGAUGAACAAUGUCUCUUGCUUUAGGUUCAGCAGUCAGAGACCCAGGCACCAAGCGAGAAGGAACUCAGCCUACUGAAAUAACUUCUUAGGUCAAUUCCUGGAUCCAGUAUUUCCUCAGUGCCAUCCAUUCUACAGUCCAGAUUAAUCCUCCCUAAAAACCUUUCCAACAUGCCACUGAAGUACUCUAAUUGGCUCCUCCUGAUAUCCUAUCAAAAUGGGCUUCUAAUUCGACCUAACUUAUUUUACAGAAGAAGCUGAGG